UACGUAGGAGGCAAGCGUUGUCCGGAAUUACUGGGUGUAAAGCGCGUGUAGGCGGCAGGCCAAGUCUGUGGUGAAAUCGCUCGGCUCAACUGGGCGGGGUCCAUGGAAACUGGUCAGCUGGAGGACGGUAGAGGUGAGUGGAAUUCCCGGUGUAGUGGUGAAAUGCGUAGAGAUCGGGAGGAACACCGAUGGCGAAGGCAAUUCCCUGGGCCUGUACUGACGCUCAUGCACGAAAGCGUGGGGAGCAAACAGG
Molecule: ribosomal RNA, 253 nt
Filed under: uncultured bacterium
Lineage: Bacteria
Description: partial 16S ribosomal RNA
Rfam family: Bacterial small subunit ribosomal RNA
Source: RNAcentral